RNAcentral lists this ribosomal RNA (1235 nucleotides) under human gut metagenome. RNAcentral describes it as "bacterial LSU rRNA". It matches the Rfam family "Bacterial large subunit ribosomal RNA", at positions 1326 to 2569 of the family's 2925-position model. The record is from RNAcentral.
AAACCCCCUCGCCGAAAGACUAAGGUUUCCUGAUCAACGCUAAUCGGAUCAGGGUCAGUCGGGUCCUAAGGCUCAGCCGAACGGCGAUGCCGAUGGCAGAAACGGUUAAUAUUCCGUUACUACCUUCAGGAGUGACGUGGAGACGCAGUAGUGACAGUGCCGCCAUCUGACGGAAUAGAUGGUUGAAGGGUGUAGGAGUCGAUCAUGGCAGGCAAAUCCACCAUGAGAUCCGAACCUGAUAGUAUGCCGCGUCCUUCGGGACAAGGCAAUAGUGCGCGUAAGCAUGCUGCCGAGAAAAUCCGCUAAACUUAAUCCUGCAGGUACCCGUACCGCAAACGGACACACGUAGUCGGGAUGAAUAUUCUAAGGCGCUUGAGUGAUUCACGGUUAAGGAACUAGGCAAACUGACCCUGUAACUUCGGGAUAAAGGGUCCCUACCCUUUUAUGGGAGGGCGCAGAGAAUCGGUCCAGGCAACUGUUUAACAAAAACACAGGGCUGUGCCAAAUCGAAAGAUCCAGUAUACAGCCUGACACCUGCCCGGUGCUGGAAGGUUAAGAGGAGAUGUCAUCGAUAAGAGAAGCGUUGAAUUGAAGCCCCAGUAAACGGCGGCCGUAACUAUAACGGUCCUAAGGUAGCGAAAUUCCUUGUCGGGUAAGUUCCGACCUGCACGAAUGGUGUAAUGAUCUGGACGCUGUCUCAACCGUGAGCUCAGUGAAAUUGUAGUAUCGGUGAAGAUGCCGAUUACCCGCGAUGGGACGAAAAGACCCCGUGAACCUUUACUAUAGCUUAUCAUUGAAUCUGGGCACGUGAUGUGUAGGAUAGGUCGGAGGCUUUGAAGCAGGUACGCCAGUAUUUGUGGAGCCGCUGUUGAAAUACGACCCUUUAUUUGUUUGGAUUCUAACCCGUGGAACGGGGACAUUGAUUGGUGGGUAGUUUGACUGGGGUGGUCGCCUCCAAAAGCGUAACGGAGGCUUCUAAAGGUGCCCUCCGGCCGAUUGGUAACCGGCCUUAGAGUGUAAUGGCAUAAGGGCGCUUGACUGGGAGACUAACAAGUCGAUCAGGUAGGAAACUAGAGCAUAGUGAUCCGGUGUUUCCGUAUGGAAGGGACAUCGCUCAAAGGAUAAAAGGUACUCCGGGGAUAACAGGCUGAUCCCUCCCAAGAGCUCAUAUCGACGGAGUGGUUUGGCACCUCGAUGUCGGCUCGUCACAUCCUGGGGCUGGAGAAGGUCCCAAG